GGCUGUGGGGUCUAGUGGUAUGAUUCUCGCUUAGGGUGCGAGAGGUCCCGAGUUCAAUUCUCGGCAUAGCCC
This 72-nucleotide transfer RNA is filed under the name Perkinsus olseni. RNAcentral describes it as "tRNA-Pro". It matches the Rfam family "tRNA". Rfam says of the family: Transfer RNA (tRNA) molecules are approximately 80 nucleotides in length. Lineage: Eukaryota; Perkinsozoa; Perkinsida; Perkinsidae. The record is from RNAcentral.